This 64-nucleotide transfer RNA is filed under the name Archispirostreptus gigas (African giant black millipede). RNAcentral's name for it is "tRNA-Glu". Lineage: Eukaryota; Metazoa; Arthropoda; Diplopoda; Spirostreptida; Spirostreptidae. The record is from RNAcentral.
UUUUCUAUAGUGUAAAGUCAACACAUAACACUUUCAUUGUUAUAAUAGAUUAGUCUUAGAAAUA